This 292-nucleotide ribosomal RNA is filed under the name uncultured bacterium. RNAcentral describes it as "partial 16S ribosomal RNA". It matches the Rfam family "Bacterial small subunit ribosomal RNA", at positions 505 to 796 of the family's 1533-position model. The record is from RNAcentral.
GUGUCAGCCGCCGCGGUAAGACGGAGGGUGCAAGCGUUGUUCGGAAUUACUGGGCGUAAAGGGCGCGUAGGCGGUCCGCUAAGUUCGGCGUGAAAUCCCCUGGCUCAACUGGGGAACUGCGCUGGAUACUGGUGGACUCGAGUACCGGAGAGGAGAGUGGAAUUCCUGGUGUAGCGGUGAAAUGCGUAGAUAUCAGGAGGAACACCGGUGGCGAAGGCGGCUCUCUGGACGGAUACUGACGCUGAGGCGCGAAAGCGUGGGGAUCAAACAGGAUUAGAAACCCCAGUAGUCC